CUAAAAUUAGGUAAUGGAUGUUUACUAGAAAUAUCGGUGAAAAUUAGCGAUUAUUCUCGUUUCUUUUUACCUACUUUUAAGUAUUUGACGUUUUAAAACUAUGACGUUAUUUUUUACCUAAAAUUAGAUUUUUCUUGACUUUGUAAAAACAAGUGUUUCUGCCGGCUCUUCCUGCCGUUCCUGCUGCGGAAUCCUUCGGACAAUAUCGAAAUAAUCAACUAUUUAAAACUGAUGAAUUCCGGUAAAUUGUUUUUUGGUUUCACAUUUCCGAAAAAUUCCAGGAUGGAUCAGGACUCGAACGCCUGUCAUCUUCAAUAAGGUCUGCUUUGGAGUACACGUUGUUGGUUGGGAAUGUUGGUCACGGGUUUGCUCGCUGGCAUUUGGACGAUGAUCAGCCUCGGAUCAGCCGCCCUUAACGUGGUGCACAGACGCUCGAUCCGGUUAACACCUCCGGAGAGAAGUAAACGCCCCUCCUUACGCUCGAUCGGGUUAACACCUCCGGAGAAGAGCAAAUCCCACCCCCCUUCCCUGUCAGCAUACGACCGUAGUUCCCACCGGGGUUAGUUACCUGAUCUCCCCAAAGGUUGCUCGUAUCCCGGCCAUCACCACGGGGAGGUAGGUAAGAGGCUGGGUAAGAGGCUAAAGACCCAACAUUUGCAAUGCCGUACAACAGGGACCAUAAUCCGGCGGAAAAUUUAGCCGGCUUCUAUAUUCAUCUCAAUAAAAAUAAAAAUAAAUUAAUCUAUUGAAGAACCUGUCAUAAGACGAGUUUAAACAAUCCCAUUGA
Long non-coding RNA from Armigeres subalbatus, 787 nucleotides. RefSeq lists it as uncharacterized. The transcript is spliced from 3 exons. NCBI's taxonomy places the organism in Eukaryota, Metazoa, Arthropoda, Insecta, Diptera, Culicidae. The record is from RefSeq and is a predicted model, not a curated record.